AUGCCAGUCUGGAGGACAAGGAGUCUGAGCAGUGAAGCAGGUGAUUCUCACCAGGACUCUGUGGAUGGUGCAAACGCAGGAGCUCAGCCCCAACACUGGCGAGAGACUGGAACCUGGGACGGUGGCAGUAGACGAAGGGUCUCUGCAAUCCAACAGCAAGAAUGUUUUGGAAGCCUGGGCAUUAUGUACCCUCCUGCAAGAGGCACUUUCAGCACAAGGAAGAACUCUGGAAGGCAUUUCAGAGAGAUCACCUCACUUGUCCCGCGUCCUCUGCUCAGACUGCUCCUAAAACGGCCUGGGCUGAUAGCAGUUGUCGUUCCCUGAAUCAUUUCCAGAAGGUGAUGCUAUAGCCUCUCAGCAGCCAGUAUUUAAUAACCUUAAGCAUCUGGAAAUCCUUCCUUAUUUUCCAACCAAAAUCCUUCCUGAUGCAAUUGCAAGUCAUUUCCUCUCAGUGCUCAGGAAAGGGAAACCAGAUGGUCAGUGCCCCACAUGAAAUAACUUUUAAUAAACUUGCCAGAAUUAGUGACCCAUCGUGUAGUCUGUUUCUUCCCUGGGUGAAAUUGUCCCAAUUCCAUCAACUGUUUUCUGCUUUGGUCUCAUUUUC
Molecule: long non-coding RNA, 604 nt
Filed under: Canis lupus familiaris (dog)
Lineage: Eukaryota; Metazoa; Chordata; Mammalia; Carnivora; Canidae
Description: lncRNA (ENSCAFG00030026299.1, ENSCAFG00040022134.1)
Source: RNAcentral